GUGAGUUAGUACGAGUUAGCUUUCAUAUCACUAUGAGUACACAUCUCGCCUAUUACGUAGUAGUCUUCUACGACUCAAAAACUUGUUUUGAGAAACGAAUUCCUGCUUGAGAUGCUUUCAGCAGUUCUACGUUCCGAACGUAGCUACUCAGCGAUGCUGCUGGCGCAACAACUGAUACACUAGAGGUUCGUCAUUCCCGGUCCUCUCGUACAAGGGAAUGGUUCUCUCAAUUUUUAACACCCGAAAAAGAUAGGAUCCGUACUGUCUCACGACGUACUAAACCCAACUCACGUACCGCUUUCAUCGGCGAACAGCCGAACCCUUCGAACCUUCUUCAGCUCGAGGAUGCGAUGAGUCGACCAGUUAUGUUAUCAUUUAGGCUCUUUAUCCUAAAUUUCUACUCUUCACAGAGUAGCUCAGACUAUGUCAUUAACAAACUUUUUUGAAUUUUGAUUGAGGAAGUUUAGAGAGCAUACGGUGUAAAAAAAAGAAAAAUAUCUAUUUUUCUUUUUUUUGCAUUGGGAUUAAAUAAUUUUCCAGUAAAGCAAAGAGUGUGUCACUAUCGUGACGAGGAAAUUCAAUGACAUAAUAGUGUGUUUUAUGUGAAAUCACACGAGAAUGCAGAUGAAAUUUCUUAUUUAAUUCUGUUGCUAAAAGAGUGUUCUCUUGUAAAGAAAAACUUUGAGUAUGAAGAAUAAGUGUAAGGUUGUUUUUUUGUAAACUUCCAUCACACAUAAUCCAAUAAGCUAGUCCUUUUGGAGUUAAAAAAUCACGAAUAAGUCCUUCCUUUAUUACUUUUUUCCAUUUUCCAUUAAUUUUUUCGUGAAAUAAAAGAAAUAAACGAGUAAAAUCAGGAAAUGAAAAAGUUUUAAACCAAUAACUUUUCACACUUUUAUCUUUUUGAAAUCUUAUUCCAGGUUCUGACAUAAAACAAUACCCAGAAAACACAUCAAAAAGAUGAAAUAGAAAUUCUUUUUGUUUUACCCCUUGUUCAAAUUUAAUCAAUGCAUUAUGACUUACGUAAUACAUUGUAGCAUCACCCAAGACCAUUCCUACAGCUGUAUCAAAACAAUCAUGUGGUAAUUGGUGUAAAAAAAAGAAAAAUAGAUAUUUUUCUUUUUUUUGCAUUGGAAGAGUUUUUUUAUAAUUUUGCCAAUAGGGUGAAUUCAAAUGAUAUCCAUCUCUUGUGUUUUUUAUAAUUUUGGUCAUAAUUUCAAAAAAAAAUUGUUAGUGGGCGCUCGUGGAGAGAUUAUUGAUAGGAAGUUCUCACUCUCUAGUCGUUGAACGUUCAUUGUUACUUUUUUUUCCAUUCACAAUGCUUCGCUGCAAAUUGUCUUUUUCUCGGGUUAACGGAAAAAGAGUUCCUUGCAAUUCACCCACUUUAGCCUCGACUAUGGCUUUAUUUAAUCGAGGUGCCAAACGACUCCGUCGAUAAGAGCUCUUGGGAGUCAUCAGCCUGUUCAAUUGUGUUAUCAUAAAGGCUUUUUAUCCUUUAUUUCUUUAUGUUUCCAUAAAGUUCAGACUAUGUCAUCAACUCUUCUGUUUUGGUAAUUUAUGUUUCAUUGAUGGAAUGACUAAAUCACCUAAAAGGCUCAUCAUUAAAUCAUAAUUUCUAGCUGAAAUCACGACAACAAAACCAUUUUUAUUUCGUCUUUUCCAACACUCUAAACCAAAUUUCUUGUGUAAACCAUCACAUAAUAACUCAACAUCUUGUUCUGUAAAACUUUGUGUAUUAAAUGCAAACCCUUUUCGUGGAUAAUCUUUAUUAUAAUUCGAUUUUCCACCAUCAUCCAUAAACCAAUAAGCAAAACUUCAUGGUGUGAAAUACUUUUCAAUUAAAACAGGUUUCACAUGUUUUUUACAUUUCACUUUAUUUUCAUCUAAAAUGAAAAGUUCAGCUAAUGGGAUAAAUUCAUGAUGUGAAAUUGUUUGAAAACUCCACAUAUUUCGAUGAAAAGCGAAAUAAGGAGGAGAGAGAGACCAUUCAUUGAAAAUAUCGUACAAAUGAAAAAUAUACUCGCAAUGUAGAUUCUUUGAUUGUUGAAAUUUCAGAUGCAAAAAAAAGAAAAAUAUUUAUUUUUCUUUUUUUUACACCCGAUAGGUUUUCCCUUUAUCUUGAGUUUGGAUACUCACAUCACCAAAGAGUAGACCAAGAGCAAUUUCUAACUGCGAUUGUGACAAACUUAGUGUAGUUUUGUAGACUUUGAGAAGGUUUCGUUGUCUUGAUGUUGGUUUUUGCAUAAAAAUGUGAGUUUUUAGAGUUGCUGGGCGCUCGUGGAGAACUUAUUGGUUGGAAAUCCUCAUUCUCUAGUCGUUGAACGUUCAUUUCUACAUAUCUUUUGAGAUAAUUUUCCAUUUGAAAUGCUUCGCUGCAAGUUGACAUGGCAUUGGUUUUUAAAAAAACCUCAAGCUUUAGCGUUCUUGCAAUUCACCCAGUGUGUUUUAUUUUGAGAACUUGUUCUCAAAAAACGCUUUUCUUCUCGCGAAGAACUAGGACUAACAUGCUUAAUCCCUAGCGUACCUUUGAUCCGUUGAUCGAGAGCCUUUCCACCAAGAACUCCCGGGUCACUAUGGCCGACUUUCGUCUCUGCUUGACUUGUAAGUCUUACAGUCAGGCAAGCUUAUACCAUUACGCUCUACAGCUGAUUUCCGUCCAGCUUGAGCUUACCUUCGCACACUUCCGUUACUCUUUAGGAAGCGACCGCCCCAGUCAAACUACCCAUUUAACAGUGUCCUUUCCCAGAAAAGGUAUAAAGCGUUUUUAUUUUUUUCUGUUUCUAAUUUUAGAAGGUUAGAAAAAUGAGAAAGAAAGGGUGGUAUUUCAUUGACCAAUACUUAGCUAGGCUAAGUAUUGUCCCACCUAUUCUACACAUUCAGACUCUUUUUUCAAUGUUAAAUUAUAGUAAAGGUGCAUAGGGUCUUACCGUCUACUUUCGGGAACUCCGCAUCUUCACGGAGAAUUCAAUUUCACUGAGAUCAUGUUGGAGACAGCGGGGAAGUCGUGACACCAUUCAUGCAGGUCGGAACUUACCCGACAAGGAAUUUCGCUACCUUAGGACCGUCAGAGUUACGGCCGCCGUUUACUGGGCCUUGCAUUUAGAGCUUGCAUACUUUUUACCUCAUUUUGUCAAAAAAACAGAGUUUUUUUGACAAAAUGAGGCACCAUGUGCGCACCCCUCCUGUUAAGUUUCCAGCACCGGGCAGGUGUCAGACCCUAUACAUCGUGUUACCACUUAGCAGAGUCCUGUGUUUUUAGUAAACAGUCGCCACCCCCUCUUUUGUGACACACAGGCUCUUUUCUAUAAUUAGAAAAGAGCUCCAUGUCCUCCUUUUUCCGAAGUUACGGAGGUAAUUUGCCGAGUUCCUUCAACAUGAUUCUCUCUUAGCCUUAGUUUUUACAACAAGUCCACCAGUGUCGGUUUAAGUACGGUGUUUUUUUUCUAAAUUAAAAAAAUUUAGAAUAAAAUCUAGUUAUUUCCUGGACCAAUCUCUCCUUUUUUCUCUCUAAAAAGAACAACAAGAUAUCCAUUAACUUGGUAAGGAGAUGAAUGGCCGUCACUAAAUUUUACAUCAAUGAAUUUUUUUACAUUGUACCCAUCAAGAUCAAGCUGUCGCUCUUCUUUUAGGGGCCGAUUCACUCUACACCGAGAUACGGUCUGUAGAAAACCUAGGACUUUCGGCUAUCAUGAUUUUCACAUGAUUUAUCGUUACUCAUGUCAGCAUUCUCACUUCUGAUAUCUCUACUUCAUUUUACAAUGAAGCGUCGUUGACUUACAGAACGUUCUGCUACCUUUUCAAUCGACACACUUUCAAUUCGUUACAAAAACGAUGUUUUUGUCAAUGAAUGAGUUAACUCUGAUUGAAAAUCGCCGCUUCGGUGAAAUUCUUGAGCUCCGAUACAUUUUAGGUGCUACUAGACAUAGACCAGUGAGCUAUUACGCUUUCUUAAAAGGAUGGCUGCUUCCAAGCCUACCUCCUGGUUGUCUUCGCCUAGUAACUUCCUUUACCACUCAGAAUUUGCUUUGGAACCUUAGCGUUCGAUCUGGGUUGUUUCCCUUUCGACUUGAGACCUUAGCGCCUCAAGUCUGUCUGUAUCGCGAAUAAAAAGGUAUUCGGAGUUUCCCUGGGAUCAGUAAGGCUUUGGGCCACCAUCACCCAAUGAGUGCUCUACCUCCUUUUUACCUUGCUAACCAAAUACUUCUAUUUGGCUCCGAUACGCUCUACCUCAAUAGAUUUCGCAGAAAACCAGCUAUUUCCAAGCUCGAUUGGCUUUUCACCCCAUAAUCACAAGUCAUCCCCAUCUAUUGCCACAGAUGUGGGUUCGGUCCUCCAAAACGUAUUAUCAUUUUUUCAACCUGCUCAUGAUUAGAUCGCUUGGUUUCGGGUCAAAUUUAUGGAACUUUGCAGGUUUUUCUUUCUCCAAAGAAGAAAGGGUAUACCUUAUUUGCUCUUUUCAAGCUUGCUUUCACUCCGCCUCCACUUAUGAGCUUAGGCUUGCUCCAUAAAUUUACUCGCUGACCCAUUAUGCAAAAGGUACGCCGUUACUCUUAAAAAAAGCUUCGACUGCUUGUAAGCAUUCAGUUUCAGGAUCUUUUUCACUGCUUUGUUUAACGCUCUGUUUCACCUUUCCCUCACGGUACUAGUUCACUAUCGAUCAGAAGAAUAUAUUUAGGCUUAGAGGGUGGUCCCCCUUGAGAAGAUUUAAAAAAAAUAAAUCUUCAAUUCAAACAAAGUUGAUCUUCGUUUUACUCAUUUUUUUUCAUUUUUUUUAUUUUUUUUUUGGAGUCUACAGGGCUAUCACCUUCUUUGGCUUGUUGUUCCAAACAAAUUUAACCCCAAAAAAAAGAAAAAAAUGAAGGCCUACUCCGCAUUCGCUCACCACUACUAACGGAAUCUCGGUUGAUUUUUUUUCCUCUAGUUACUUAGAUGUUUCAGUUCACUAGGUAAUUGAUAAUCAUUGAGUUUUCUUAAGGAAAUCCAGAGAUCUAGGGAUUGACGCACCUAUCUAUGGCGUUUCGUUGCGUUUAACGUCCCUUCUCUUCUUCUGUCUAGGCAUCCACUAAAUGCU
This 5068-nucleotide ribosomal RNA is filed under the name Micractinium singularis. Its description in RNAcentral is "large subunit ribosomal RNA". The record is from RNAcentral. Lineage: Eukaryota; Viridiplantae; Chlorophyta; Trebouxiophyceae; Chlorellales; Chlorellaceae.